AUUUAAUAUGUCUUAUCAGGUGUUCAUGUAACUUAAAAGGGAAGACGGUGAAAAGCCGUUACAGCCCCCGCUACUGUAAGUGAGGAUGAAACCAGAGAAAAGCCACUCAAAUCUUAUGUUUGGGGAAGGUGCUGGGAGUAAAAUGAUUCAUAAGUCAGGAGACCUGCCUGGUAAAUAAGACGCAG
RNAcentral lists this non-coding RNA (185 nucleotides) under Maledivibacter halophilus. Lineage: Bacteria; Bacillati; Bacillota; Clostridia; Peptostreptococcales; Caminicellaceae. The record is from RNAcentral.